Molecule: transfer RNA, 85 nt
Filed under: bacterium
Lineage: Bacteria
Also listed under: 1 other name
Description: tRNA-Ser
Rfam family: tRNA
About the family: Transfer RNA (tRNA) molecules are approximately 80 nucleotides in length.
Source: RNAcentral
GGAGAGGUGGCAGAGUGGUCGAAUGCACCGGUCUUGAAAACCGGCGUGCCGCAAGGUACCGUGGGUUCGAAUCCCACCCUCUCCG